ACCAUGGCUCAGAUUGAACGCUGGCGGCAGGCCUAACACAUGCAAGUCGAGCGGUCAGGUCCAGCUUGCUGGACGCUGACGAGCGGCGGACGGGUGAGUAAUGCAUAGGAAUCUACCCAGUCGUGGGGGAUAACCUGGGGAAACCCAGGCUAAUACCGCAUACGUCCUACGGGAGAAAGCGGGGGCUCUUCGGACCUCGCGCGAUUGGAUGAGCCUAUGUCGGAUUAGCUGGUUGGUGGGGUAAAGGCUCACCAAGGCGACGAUCCGUAGCUGGUCUGAGAGGAUGAUCAGCCACACUGGGACUGAGACACGGCCCAGACUCCUACGGGAGGCAGCAGUGGGGAAUAUUGGACAAUGGGCGAAAGCCUGAUCCAGCCAUGCCGCGUGUGUGAAGAAGGCUUUCGGGUUGUAAAGGACUUUCAGUGGGGAAGAAGGCUUGUCGGCCAAUACCCGGCAAGAGCGACAUCACCCACAGAAGAAGCACCGGCUAACUCCGUGCCAGCAGCCGCGGUAAUACGGAGGGUGCAUGCGUUAAUCGGAAUUACUGGGCGUAAAGCGCGCGUAGGCGGCUUGUCACGCCGGGUGUGAAAGCCCCGGGCUCAACCUGGGAACGGCAUCCGGAACGGGCAGGCUAGAGUGUAGGAGAGGAAGGUAGAAUUCCCGGUGUAGCGGUGAAAUGCGUAGAGAUCGGGAGGAAUACCAGUGGCGAAGGCGGCCUUCUGGACUGACACUGACGCUGAGGUGCGAAAGCGUGGGUAGCAAACAGGAUUAGAUACCCUGGUAGUCCACGCCGUAAACGAUGUCGACUAGCCGUUGGGUCCCUUGAGGACUUAGUGGCGCAGUUAACGCGAUAAGUCGACCGCCUGGGGAGUACGGCCGCAAGGUUAAAACUCAAAUGAAUUGACGGGGGCCCGCACAAGCGGUGGAGCAUGUGGUUUAAUUCGAUGCAACGCGAAGAACCUUACCUACCCUUGACAUCUUCUGCUAUUCCUAGAGAUAGGAAGUUCCCUUCGGGGACAGAGUGACAGGUGGUGCAUGGUUGUCGUCAGCUCGUGUCGUGAGAUGUUGGGUUAAGUCCCGCAACGAGCGCAACCCUUGAUCUUAGUUGCCAGCAUUAAGUUGGGCACUCUAAGGUGACUGCCGGUGACAAACCGGAGGAAGGUGGGGAUGACGUCAAAUCAUCAUGCCCCUUAUGACCUGGGCUACACACGUGCUACAAUGGAUGGAACAAAGGGAAGCAAAACCGCGAGGUCAAGCAAAUCCCAUAAAACCAUUCUCAGUUCGGAUUGCAGGCUGCAACUCGCCUGCAUGAAGCCGGAAUCGCUAGUAAUCGCGGAUCAGCAUGCCGCGGUGAAUACGUUCCCGGGCCUUGUACACAACGCCCGUCACACCACGAGAGUUGGUAACACCCGAAGUCGGUGAGGUAACCUU
Molecule: ribosomal RNA, 1431 nt
Filed under: Chromohalobacter israelensis
Lineage: Bacteria; Pseudomonadati; Pseudomonadota; Gammaproteobacteria; Oceanospirillales; Halomonadaceae
Description: bacterial SSU rRNA
Rfam family: Bacterial small subunit ribosomal RNA
Source: RNAcentral